RNAcentral lists this long non-coding RNA (1465 nucleotides) under Homo sapiens (human). RNAcentral's name for it is "non-protein coding lnc-RMDN2-3:25". Lineage: Eukaryota; Metazoa; Chordata; Mammalia; Primates; Hominidae. The record is from RNAcentral.
GUUGCCUGCUGUCUUGUAAGAUGUGCCUUUGCUCCUCCUUCACCUUCCACCAUGAUUGUGAGGCCUCCCCAGCCACGUGGAACUGUAAGUCUGUUAAACCUCUUUCCUUUAUAAAUUACCUAGUCUCAGGUAUGUCUUUAUUAGCAGCAUGAGAAAGGACUCAUCAUGCUACAUGGUGACAGCAGUGAUGGAGACAGUGCCCAGGAUUGCCUCCCCAUGACAGCUAGCAAGGGCUGUGAUGCUUUACAAUUACUGUCAGCCCAGAAUUAACUUCCAUUCCGUAGACAUUCAUGGGUGCCUGCUAUAAUACAUAAAAAGCACAAUAUGGAAACAGGCUGGGGCCAAAGGGAGACAAAGACCCAGUCUCUGCCUUCCGAGUGCUUGCAAUAGAAGGGGAUAAGAAACACAGCUGUGUAAGAGAGAUGCCAGAUGAUAGAUACAUGCAGUAUACUCUGGCAGUUCCCAAGGGGAGAGAUAUCACUGCACCCUAUGGGGAGCUGAGCAGAGGAGACAUUUGACGUAGGCUUGGGAGUAUGUGUAGGAGUCCAGCAGAUGGGGUAGGGAAGGAAAAACAGGAGCAAAUGCACAAAAGAGGAGAAGCAGAGGAUUUUUCUAAACAGCAAUGACUCAUGCAGUUUGUCUGAAUUGUAGAAUAUACGAGAGGGAGUAGCAGGAAUGAGACCUAUUUUCUGGGCUUGCACUUCACCCUAAACUCCAGUCAUCUGUAAGAUUCAUCUCUUUUGGCUCAUCCUCCUGAGCAGGAGCAGACAACCCCAGGCAACAGGCAGCACUUGCCCAGCAGUCAGGCUGCUGAACUGCUCUCCAGUGUGUGUGCAUGUGAGGACCCAUGAAACAGGGGCCACAGUGUCCUCCCCACCCAGGAACUCAGCCUGGUUUAUGAGAACAAACCUCGUUGGCCUGGGCAGCUGGUCUGAUCCACUUCCUGAACUCCUGCUCUCUCUGUCCUACCCCACCACCCAGGCCAGCCUCUCUGUCCUGAAGCUGAGACCUUCUGAACAGAAGGCUGGGUCAGCUCUGCUUGCAGCCAGAGGACACUGAGAAGGCCACCACUUACAGGGGCCCUUCUCCUCUCAGGUCCCCAGUGCUCCUAGGGUGGGCAGCCAGCACUGCUUUCCAUCUGAUUCCAAGCAAUGGCUAAGGCUGGUGGCUACCUAUCCAUUAAGCUGUAAGAUGUUUGCCCUUGGGAUGUGGUUUAAGUGUCAGUCUGAGGUUUAAAAUAAAACAAAACAAAUUCUGUUUCACUGCAUCUUUAAUUGUCGACUUCUGGGGAAGUAUCUUCUAAAGAUGUGCUAGGCACAAUCACCCGUGGGCCAAACUCCAUGAACAGAAGUGGGCAUGUUAGAAUCCUGCGUCAGCUCUUCCCUCAUCUCACUGCCUGGGAAAGUGUCUGGUUAUAACCCCAGCCCCAACUUCUCAGCUCUGACGCCUGCUGUUCAUCAAAACU